ACACAAUCCAUAAAUACAGUAGGGGCUCCAUUAAGGAGAAGGAUAAUACAACUGGAAUAACUAUAGAGGGAGAAGAGAAGAAGGAACUAUAAUAUACAGCUUCAGAAGGACAGAAGUUUAAACUGAGUUUUAAGAUCAGACAAGGAAGAAUUGCCUCCUGGUGUGAGUUACAAAGGAGAACAAAAAUACAAAGUGCGUGGUACAAAUAGCAACAUGGAUUGCAAAAGAGAUGAAAGUCAAAGCAGGAAAGCUGUGAUGAAGAGAGAUUGUGGGAGGAUUUCGGUAUCAUGUUAAGUCCUUUGGCUUUUAUUUUGUGGCAAUAAAAAGCCAUCACAGGUAGCAACAGCAGCACCACCAAACUCCUUCCCUGGGAACCACACUGUUUCUCAGCGUCAAGCGGCCACAGCUCUGAACUGUGUCUCUGAGCAUCUGUGCUUCAACUCCAUUUAUUUUGUGCAUCCAUUAGCAAGAUAUGUCUUAAGUUUUUUGGCCCCAAGGCAUGUCGGGAUCUUAGCUCCCCAACCAGGGGUCAAACCUGCACCCCCAGCAUUGGAAGAGAAGGACACCCGGGACCUCCUGCCCUACCUAGGACAGCCAUCAUCUGAUGGAAAGGAAGAAAAACACAGUGUCAAAGCUUUGGCCACUUCUCUGUGCUGCUACGAAGAAAAAGCUUUGUGACGGGCCCUGAUUUCUUGUGCAGAGCCCGCAGCCCCCGUCUGAUCCAGGCUACAGAAACAUAGCCCCUGAUCUCAAGGAAGGACCACUUUUCAGAGCCCAGUCCCACCAGCCCCACGGCACACCCCCACUCCCCCCCUCCACCAUGGGGCCGGCGCCAGACUUUACCUUCGAUCACAUUCUUCCCGGUUCCAUCCCUCCUCGACCCUCCUUCCCUCGGUCUCUGACAGCUUUCUCCCGAAGGGCUGACCCUCCACAGAUCACGGGAACCCCAUCCCUGCCUCAAGCUCUGCCUCUAGGGAGCCUGUCCUAAGACAGAUAAUCUGGCUUGAGGAAAAAUGAUUUUAUUUCCUGAACAAGUUCCUGGCCUCCUGUAGUAGAUGAUCAGCAGGGACCCAGGGCUCCCAUGGCGGGGCUUCCAUAGGACUCUCCAGGCUGGCUGGCACUGUAUCCGGAUCUCACUGUAUCUGAGAACCGGUGUUUAUCUUUGCAUCUGUGCAUCUGAAUGUCUCCAUGCCUGUGGAGGGCUGUGGCUGGCCCCCUAGCUACCUGCUGCUGGUGAAGACAGAUCGUCCUUCUGUCUUGCUCACUUGGAGGCCCUGGCGUUGAAUGCCAAAGGCCGGGCUGCAGGGUUUGGCAGAAACCCCAUCAGGGUAGCAGCCUAAAAUGAGCAACACCCG
Aethalodelphis obliquidens (Pacific white-sided dolphin) is the source of this 1355-nucleotide long non-coding RNA. RefSeq lists it as uncharacterized. Lineage: Eukaryota; Metazoa; Chordata; Mammalia; Artiodactyla; Delphinidae. The record is from RefSeq and is a predicted model, not a curated record. The transcript is spliced from 5 exons.